RNAcentral lists this ribosomal RNA (230 nucleotides) under uncultured bacterium. Its description in RNAcentral is "partial 16S ribosomal RNA". It matches the Rfam family "Bacterial small subunit ribosomal RNA", at positions 561 to 790 of the family's 1533-position model. The record is from RNAcentral.
UAAAGCGUGCGUAGGCGGCUUUUUAAGUCGGAUGUGAAAUCCCCGAGCUUAACUUGGGAAUUGCAUUCGAUACUGGGAAGCUAGAGUAUGGGAGAGGAUGGUAGAAUUCCAGGUGUAGCGGUGAAAUGCGUAGAGAUCUGGAGGAAUACCGAUGGCGAAGGCAGCCAUCUGGCCUAAUACUGACGCUGAGGUACGAAAGCAUGGGGAGCAAACAGGAUUAGAUACCCCUU